UCCGUAGCCUGUUUGAUAAGUUCCUGGUUAAAUCUAGUGGCUUAACCAUUAAUUAGCUAGGAAUACUGUCUUACUAGAGGGUGGGAAAGGUCUGAGGUACUCCAGGGGUAGCGGUGAAAUGCGAUAAUCCUUGGGGGACCACCAGUGGCGAAGGCGUCAGACUGGAACACGCCUGACGGUGAGGGACGAAAGCUAGGGGAGCGAACAGGAUUAGAUACCCUGGUAGUCC
RNAcentral lists this ribosomal RNA (229 nucleotides) under uncultured bacterium. RNAcentral's name for it is "partial 16S ribosomal RNA". It matches the Rfam family "Bacterial small subunit ribosomal RNA", at positions 568 to 796 of the family's 1533-position model. The record is from RNAcentral.